AUGACCCCUCCGGUGCUCGAGCAUUGUUAGCGCGUGAGCAGUUUAUGCUUAACGCUAAUUGGCCUGUGGACAGGCCAGUCUAUGGUGAGGGGGUGGACGCUGAAGCUGAGAAUGAUGAUGAUGAUGUUGAUGAUGAGGCUACCGGUUCUGAGGCCGGUAGCGAGGAGGAGUCCUGAGCCCUUUGUGGGUUAAGUUUUUGUAUUUGUAUUUCAGUUUUUAUUAUGUCAUUUCCAUUUGUAUUUUCGAAUUUUGUAUUUUGACCAUGGGUUGUACUAUUGGGGUGUUUUGUCCCCCACGAACAAAUUUUUAUUUUCAGUUAAUGUUAUUUAAUUAUGUUUUUAAUUUUGUGUGUUUAAUAAAUUUUUGGUUGAAUGAGUGGCAAACCCUUCUAGAUUGGUUGCUCCUCAAGAAGUACCCAAUGAAGGUGCAUCCGAGCUUGG
This 440-nucleotide long non-coding RNA is filed under the name Lathyrus oleraceus (garden pea). Its description in RNAcentral is "Pisum sativum (pea) long non-coding RNA (PSAT_LNC015948)". Lineage: Eukaryota; Viridiplantae; Streptophyta; Magnoliopsida; Fabales; Fabaceae. The record is from RNAcentral.